Molecule: non-coding RNA, 559 nt
Organism: Pogona vitticeps (central bearded dragon)
Lineage: Eukaryota; Metazoa; Chordata; Lepidosauria; Squamata; Agamidae
Source: RefSeq, a predicted model, not a curated record
GAGUUCAUUUCCCUUUCAUUUUAACAGGGUUCUGGAACACGCCACAGAACUCUGAAUAGGAUCAUGGUGUCGCGUUCUGAGGUUGACAUGAAUGAGAUCAAAGGUUUUUACAGGCAAUUAUACGGCAAAUCCCUCUGCCAGGCAAUUUUGGAUGAAACGAAAGGUGAUUAUGAAACCAUUCUGGUGGCUUUGUGUGGUGGUGACAACUGAGCUCCACAUUCUUCAGAUACCUUCGGCCACUUUCUCAUGGAUAUCAGUCUGUUUCAACUCAAGCUGUUACAAGUACCUAUAUAGUAAAUAUCUGUAGAAAGAGAGUGAUCUCAGAUUUUAACUCUAUCUAGAAAGAUCUCUGUAUACUAAAAAUGUUUAGCCUGGAAAAAUACUUUUGUUGUUAGCAAUCUCUGUGCAUUACUUGCUUUUUUUUGUAUUUAUUAGGAGCCCAAAAAAAAAUACUGAGAACAGGUACUGUUUGCUUUUUCAGGCUUAAGUCAGUGUGAAAGGCACACAACCUGCCUAAACAGGUCUAAUAACAUUCCAAAUAAACUUAAGCUGUUGUGUA